Molecule: ribosomal RNA, 450 nt
Filed under: uncultured bacterium
Lineage: Bacteria
Description: partial 16S ribosomal RNA
Rfam family: Bacterial small subunit ribosomal RNA
Source: RNAcentral
AGCGAACGCUGGCGGCAUGCCUAACACAUGCAAGUCGCACGGGGGGGCUUCGGCCUCCCAGUGGCGGACGGGUGAGGAACGCGUAGGGACCUGUCGAGGGGUGGGGGAUAACCGCGGGAAACUGCGGCUAAUACCGCAUGACGCCGCGGCGUGACAGCCGGGGCCAAAGGCGAAAGCCGCCCGCCGAGGGGCCUGCGUCCGAUUAGCUGGUUGGCGGGGUAGCGGCCCACCAAGGCGUCGAUCGGUAGCUGGUCUGAGAGGGUGAUCAGCCACACCGGGACUGAGACACGGCCCGGACUCCUACGGGAGGCAGCAGUGGGGAAUAUUGACAAUGGGCGCAAGCCUGAUCCAGCAAUGCCGCGUGGGUGAAGAAGGUCUUCGGAUUGUAAAGCCCUUUCGGCGGGGACGAUGGUGACGGUACCCGCAGAAGAAGCCCCGGCUAACUUCGUG